Molecule: ribosomal RNA, 1489 nt
Filed under: uncultured Bordetella sp.
Lineage: Bacteria; Pseudomonadati; Pseudomonadota; Betaproteobacteria; Burkholderiales; Alcaligenaceae
Description: partial 16S-23S ribosomal RNA intergenic spacer
Rfam family: Bacterial small subunit ribosomal RNA
Source: RNAcentral
AGUUCGAUCAUGGCUCAGAUUGAACGCUGGCGGUCUUUACAUGCAAGUCGAACGGCAGCACGGACUUCGGUCUGGUGGCGAGUGGCGAACAGGUGGCAGGUAAUGUAUCGGAACGUGCCUAGUAGCCAGGGAUAACUACGCAGCGUAGCUAAUGCCACGCUACGCCCUUCCAGGAAAGCCGCCAGGGGACCUUCGGGCCUCACUAUUAGAGCGGCCGAUAUCGGAUUAGCUAGUUGGUGGGGUAACGGCUCACCAAGGCGACGAUCCGUAGCUGGUUUGAGGACGACCAGCCACACUGCAGGACGAGACACGGCUGACUCCUACGGGAGGCAGCAGUGAAAUUUUGGACAAUGGAAACCUGAUCCGGCCAUCCCCGCGUGUGCGAUGAAGGCCUUCCGGGUUGUAAAACACUUUUGGCAGGAAAGAAACGGCACGGGAUAAUGCCCGUGCAACUGACGGCUGCCGGGAAUAAGCACCGGCUAACUACGUACCAGCAGCCGCGGUAAUACGUAGGGUGCAAGCGUUAAUCGAUUACUGGGCGUAAAGCGUGCGCAGGCGGUUCGGAAAAGAAAGAUGUGAAAUCCCAGAGCUUAACUUUGGAACUGCAUUUUUAACUAUGACUAGAGUGUGUCAGAGGAGGUGGAAUUCCGCGAUAAUAGCAGUGAAAUGCGUAGAUAUGCGGAGGAACACACCAGUGGCGAAGGCAGCCUCCUGGGAUAACACUGACGCUCAUGCACGAAAGCGUGGGAGCAAGCGGGAUUAGAUACCCUGGUAGUCCACACCUAAGCGUCUCAACUAACAUUUCCCAGGGGCCUUCGGGCCUUGGUAGCGCAGCUAACGCGUGAAGUUGACCGCCUGGGGAGAGUACAGUCGCAAGAUUAAAACUCAAAGGAAUUGACGGGGACCCGCACAAGCAGUGGAUGUGGAUUAAUUCGAUGCAACGCGAAAACCUUACCUACCCUUGACAACUCUGGAAUCCCGAAGAGAUUUGGGAGUGCUCGCAAGAAGGGAACCGGAACACAGGGUGCUGCAUGGCUGUCGUCAGCUCGUGUCGUGAGAUGUUGGGUUAAGUCCGCAACGAGCGCAGCCUUGUCGUUGGUUGCUGCACGAAAGGGCGCUCUAAUGAGGCUGCCGGUGACAAACCGGAGGAAGGUGGGGAUGACGUCAAAGUCCUCAUGGCCCUUAUGGGUAGAACUUCACACGUCGCCACAAUGGUCGGGACAGAGGGUCGCCAACCCGCGAGGAGCCAAUCCCGAAACCCGAUCGUAGUCCGGAUCGCAGUCUGCAACUCGACUGCGUCCCAGAAGUCAGAUAUUCAAAGCCAAUGUGAGGAUCAGCAUGUCGCGGUGAAUACGUUCCAGGUCUUGUACACACCGCCCGUCACACCAUGGGAGUGGGUUUUACCAGAAGUGAUUAGCCUAACCGUAAGGAGGGCGAUUACCACGGUAGGAUUCAUGACCAAGCUGAGUGCAAGUCGUAACAAAGGUAG